Molecule: ribosomal RNA, 468 nt
Filed under: uncultured bacterium
Lineage: Bacteria
Description: partial 16S ribosomal RNA
Rfam family: Bacterial small subunit ribosomal RNA
Source: RNAcentral
GACGAACGCUGGCGGCGUGCUUAACACAUGCAAGUCGAACGGAAAGGCCCUGCUUUUGUGGGGUGCUCGAGUGGCGAACGGGUGAGUAACACGUGAGUAACCUGCCCUUGACUUUGGGAUAACUUCAGGAAACUGGGGCUAAUGCCGGAUAGGAGCUCCUGCUGCAUGGUGGGGGUUGGAAAGUUUCGGCGGUUGGGGAUGGACUCGCGGCUUAUCAGCUUGUUGGUGGGGUAGUGGCUUACCAAGGCUUUGACGGGUAGCCGGCCUGAGAGGGUGACCGGCCACAUUGGGACUGAGAUACGGCCCAGACUCCUACGGGAGGCAGCAGUGGGGAAUAUUGCACAAUGGGCUGAAGCCUGAUGCAGCAACGCCGCGUGCGGGAUGACGGCCUUCGGGUUGUAAACCGCUUUCGCCUGUGACGAAGCGUGAGUGACGGUAAUGGGUAAAGAAGCACCGGCUAACUACGUG